RNAcentral lists this ribosomal RNA (253 nucleotides) under uncultured bacterium. RNAcentral's name for it is "partial 16S ribosomal RNA". It matches the Rfam family "Bacterial small subunit ribosomal RNA", at positions 524 to 776 of the family's 1533-position model. The record is from RNAcentral.
UACGUAGGGCGCAAGCGUUGUCCGGAAUUAUUGGGCGUAAAGAGCUCGUAGGCGGCUUGUCACGUCGGAUGUGAAAGCCCGGGGCUUAACCCCGGGUCUGCAUUCGAUACGGGCUAGCUAGAGUGUGGUAGGGGAGAUCGGAAUUCCUGGUGUAGCGGUGAAAUGCGCAGAUAUCAGGAGGAACACCGGUGGCGAAGGCGGUUCUCUGGGCAUUACCUGACGCUGAGGAGCGAAAGUGUGGGGAGCGAACAGG